Electrophorus electricus (electric eel) is the source of this 1073-nucleotide non-coding RNA. The record is from RefSeq and is a predicted model, not a curated record. NCBI's taxonomy places the organism in Eukaryota, Metazoa, Chordata, Actinopteri, Gymnotiformes, Gymnotidae.
GCGCCAUGUAAGCGACCGGACACCGUGACGAGCACGGGAAGAGCUCGGGAAGACUCGAGGAGCGCGGAGGCGCGCGCAGGACUCACCGAGACACAUGGACGUGAGAGAGAGCACACUGUCACUUUUGCAGAAUGACAGUCUCUCUAAACAUAUUCUCCUUUCAUGGUGUUUGCACAAACUCCUCUCAUCACCCUUCCUUCUUCUCAGCUUCCUCUGACGAGCCCCUUGCACACCCCCACCUCAGGGAGCUGGAGGGAGGCUUCUGCGAGAAGCUCUUCUCUCCAUCUGCUCAUCCUCGUCAUGCUUCAUAAAGCCACCCCCUUCUGAUCUCCACACCCCCUGCUCCCCCAGCACACAUGGAGAGAUGAUGAGUGAUCUGCUCUCCGGAUGCUUUAGCGAGACAAUGCUGCACCACAAUGUUCAACAUCAUCAAUCUCUCCAGACAUCCAUCACCCAAACAAUAAAGCGAAUGGACAGAGGCCAUUCUCUGUGGGCUCUCGGGUUGUACACUUUCCUUCUUUUUUUCUCCUUUCUCUCCAUUUAAAAAAAAAACAAACAUUUUUCUCUUUUUGUCAUUAGCAGUAAUUGGAAGCACUACCGUGAGGGGAAGAACGGACCCAAAUCCAGUUUAGAAACGGAGGCCUCACCAGUGUUUGCCCAGCGUGACCAAGCCCAUGACUGUCACUUCUGUAAACAAAUGUAGCCUCUGUUUAUUCAAGUUCAUCCUUUUCGGUUUGGGACUGAUGUGCUGUAGAACUCUUUAGAAGCAACUGCUGGUGGAAUUCCAAAGACAAGAGCUGUGUUGUAUUCAAAAGAAGGAUGGGCCAAAGAAACACCUUCCAAACAUAUUUGUAAACUAUUCUCAAAACAAACCAGCACUGCAACAUUAUCACGUUAUUAUUCUUUGCUGAAUAUAAGCGGUUGCUGCUCAUAAGGUAUGUGCUUUACUAGAAACACCUUUAUACACUGGAAACUUCAGUAAAACCAUCUUAUAGUCUGUGUCACCCCAUUCAGUCAGUCAGCAUCUUUUCAUCACUGAUGAGUAUUAUUGGCUCCCUGUUGCUGAAUGGCAA